GACGAACGCUGGCGGCGUGCUUAACACAUGCAAGUCGAACGGAAAGGCCCUGCUUUUGUGGGGUGCUCGAGUGGCGAACGGGUGAGUAACACGUGAGUAACCUGCCCUUGACUUUGGGAUAACUUCAGGAAACUGGGGCUAAUACCGGAUAGUAGCUCCUGCUGCAUGGUGGGGGUUGGAAAGUUUCGGCGGUUGGGGAUGGACUCGCGGCUUAUCAGCUUGUUGGUGGGGUAGUGGCUUACCAAGGCUUUGACGGGUAGCCGGCCUGAGAGGGUGACCGGCCGCAUUGGGACUGAGAUACGGCCCAGACUCCGACGGGAGGCAGCAGUGGGGAAUAUUGCACAAUGGGCGGAAGCCUGAUGCAGCAACGCCGCGUGCGGGAUGACGGCCUUCGGGUUGUAAACCGCUUUCGCCUGUGACGAAGCGUGAGUGACGGUAAUGGGUAAAGAAGCACCGGCUAACUACGUG
RNAcentral lists this ribosomal RNA (468 nucleotides) under uncultured bacterium. RNAcentral describes it as "partial 16S ribosomal RNA". It matches the Rfam family "Bacterial small subunit ribosomal RNA", at positions 28 to 507 of the family's 1533-position model. The record is from RNAcentral.